AACAUGUCGCAUAACCUAGAUCGAAUCGAAGCCGAUAAAGCAAGUAAACGAAUUAUCUCUCAACGAUAGAGAGAUCGCAGGAAGAACAGGAAACAAAAUAUAGCGAAAGAAAUACCCUCGCUGGGCACCACGCGUCUAUCGCCAGGGGCAACAAGAGAUGCCCGGCGUGCGUGCGUCUCGCUUCUCGGACGCCUCUCGACCGGACCCUCUGCCGCGGACAUCCACUUGUUAGUUAGUCUGUGGCAGCUGAGUGGGGCGGUCGUGCCGGACGAGGCGCGGGAGAUACCUGUUGAUUUCUUUUUUUCUUGAGGAUAUAUAUUGAAAGUGUUCGUGUUAAAAGCACAGUUUGUUCUAUUUUCGCAUUCACGAUGGUGUCUUGAAGGAUACGAGGAGGAGUGUGAUAACCAAGGAAGCAGACGAAAUUGAUUUCCUGAUAGGAGUGUGAGUGAAUAAAUUGGUGCCCUGCGCACAAAAUACCCAGAGUGGAGAGAAGGGGGGGUUAUUAAGCCCACCAUGUUGCCGCCGACCCUACGAGAAACACCAUACCCCUGUGGAAUUAUACCAACAGACAUCUAGUACUGGUAUUACUCGAGACAGAAAACAGUGCGAUGUGGGAGAUGGAUUUCAAGAAGGAGGUUUCGGGGAUGUCAUCUCCCACAGGAGGAGAAGGAGGAGGAGGAGGAGGUCGACCUCGUCCUCAAUGCCACUUGCCUGCCCUCCACCCCACCAGUAUCCGAGGCAUAAAGACCACCGUCAGAUGGACCCUCUCCUUCGGGUGCCUGUGGAUGCUGCUGACGACGCCCCUCCUCGUCUGCGCGGAGUCCAAUGGUUGUGAUUUCUAUGGCAGCGGACUCGAGCAGGACGGCCGAGGAGUCCAGCCGGUGUACCUGAGCUGCUCCUCGGGCCGAGUCGAGUGGCAGUAUCCCCGCGCAGGACUCAGGGUCAUCCUCCGGUCCCCCCACAAGGACCGGGACUUCCAAGCCUGCAUCAAGGGGGACCCCAAGUUCGAAGGCGCCAGGGUCUAUCUCGAGGGUUACCGCUCUCUCCUGCCGCUGUUCGCCCUCGACGACGGCCGCCCUCAGGAGCUGGUGCGCUGCUUCACGAGCUACAAGGGCCAGGCGGCGCUGUACGUCGAGGCCGAGCCCAGCGCCGACGACCUGAAGAAGGAGGUCGCCGCCUUCGACUACGACCUGCAGACGCUCGCCAAGGGAAAGAUUUACGACCCGCUCGAAGAGUGCCGCCCGUGUUCGGAAGACGAGAUCCUCCGCCUCUACUGCUCGGGCGACUUCGUGGCUCGAGGAAGCAUCGAGCGCGUGGAGGACGACUCCGACCUCGCCACGACCACCAUCACCAUCCGGGCCUCGAAGCUCUUCCAGCAGACGUCGCCGGUGUUCAGACACGCCCACGCCCGCGAGAGAGACGAGAAGGCCUGGGAGAGCGCGUACGGCGUCAGCAACAGCAUCCGAGGGGGGGGAGGGGGAGUGGCGGAGUACACGGGCCGCGUCGACGUCCCCAUCCAGUGCGGGGCGCGGGCGGGCGAGGGGGAGUUCCUGGUGAUGGGCGUGAUGAGGCUGGGGAAGCCCAUCCUGCGGUGCGCGCCCAGACACUCCGAGUGGGUGAAGAUCGCCAAAGCCGCCCGGGCCAAUGCCCAGUGUGUGCUGGAAACGUGAGCGUUGUGCAAUUGCAAAAGACGCUUUCUAAGGACGUGAAGUUCCGUGCAAUUGCGAAAGACAGUUUUAUAAGGACGUGAAGUUCCGUGCAAUUGCAAAGGAAUUUCUUAAGGACGUGAAGUUCCGUGCAAUUGCAAAAGACGGUUUCUAAGUACGUGAAGGUUUGUGCAAUUGCGAAGGAGUUUCUUAAGGACAUGAAGUUUUGUGCAAUUGCGAAAGACAGUUUCCGGAGACGGUGGACUUCGUGCAGUAUAUUUUUUAAAAAGUUCUAGAAACAUUAGAUUUUAUGUUAUUGUAAAGUGAAUGUUCAAGGAACGGUAUAUAUUGUGCAAUUGCAAAAGACAUUUUCUAAAGACAUUUCUCUUGUGCAAUUGCUAAGGGGCAUCGCGGUGUUCCUAAUGUAGUCUUAAAGUGGAAGCGAUUCAGUGACAAAUGACACUCGAAGAUGAGUAACAAGAAGCUCAAUCGAUUAAAUAAUCCACUGAAAGGAGAAGAGACAAUUUUAAAAUAUAUAUCUUGGUGCAAUAAUAGUAGACAUUGCGAUUAACGAAUUUGCAAUGCUACAGCAACACUUUUGCUCCCAGUGUACAUAUACUGAACUUCUGACACAAUGGAAUCAAGGGGAGUGAAGUUCACAGUUUGAACGGAAAGAAAAUUUCUGCAGAGAGGAAUAGGUGUCCUAUGGGCCCCUUUAAACACGUCACACAAAAUCGUGAAACAACUUAAUAGAAAAUUUAUGAAUUGUCAGGUUCCAUGGGAUCUUUUCACAAGCUAAAAAGUUCCAUGAGGCUUUUCACGUGUUAAAAAGUCCCCAUGACGCUUUUCACAAGCUAAAAAAAGACCCCAUGAGGUUUUCACAAGCUAAAAAAAGACCCCAUGAGGUUUUCACAAGCUAAAAAAACGAGGCUUUUCACAAGCUAAAAAAAAAACAUGAGGUUUUCACAAGCUGAAAAAAGACUCUAUAAGGUUUUCACAAGCUAAACAAAGGACCCCAUGAGGCUUUUCACGAGCUAAAAGGCCACAUGAGAACCUAUCCUCUCCAACUUCAAAGGCCGAAACAGUCCCUUGCUUUUGGUGAUUGUAAUGGAUUUGGUUGUACCAAUUGCGGUUGUAAGUGUGUAAAGUGCCAUAGAUAGCACGUAAGGCCAGGCAGUCUCUUGUGUUUAUGAAGCGAUUCUUGAAUGUUUUAAAUACAGUCUCUUGUGGUUAUGGAAGUGACUCUUGAAUGAUUUUUUGAAGCAGAUUUUGUUUUUAUCAAACCGUCUGUGAUUUAGUAGUUACUGAAAAAAAAGUCCUGGACUGAUAUUAGAGAAGGUUUAUACGUUUAGUUUAUAUUCAUCCUGACAAAAAAGUCAAAUAUCCAAUUGUAUUAAUGUUCCACUGAAGCUAUUAGCUCUCGAAAAAAGUUAUUUUUUUCAUAUUUUUUAUAAAUGUAUAAAUUUGCUUUUCCUUUUAAACUUCGUAAAAAAAUAUUCUUAAAGUUGUCCUGUCGACCGCUUUCCAGGGUGUAUACUAACCACGGUAUCAUACAGCACCCUGCUUGUGUACAAAGCUUAGUAUAAUUCCUUCCGACUCUUGGAGGAAAGGAUAUAGCUCAUAGAAGGUCAUAAGAAAACAGUAGAGGUCCUAAGUGCAAUGUUUUUUUUUCCGCUGAUUUUAGGGACGCCAUUACUUGGUUGGGUCUGAGGAAACCUUUCAGAAAAAGAUGUUGGGACAAGCAAGUGUUCUAGCUCUUCUCUGACAUCUUCAUUUUCUCCUUCCCCUGCAAUUCUUUCUUCCUCCUUUUCCUUUCUCUCUUCCUCUCUCGCUUCUUCAUCUUCCUGUUCCUCCUUCUUCUCCCCCCUCCUAUUCCUAUUACUAUUCUUCUCCUCCUCCUCCUCCUAUCUCAUCAUACUCUUCCUCUUUCUCCUUCUCCUCCUCCUCCUCCUCCUUCUUUCGUUGAGUCUGCUGUGUAGGUCGACUCAUGGAAAACCAACCUCUGUUUUGAUGUUUAUUUUGCAUGGUUCAGCACAUAAAUUCCUGCUGAUUCACUGAACGAAAUCAGCGACCCCACAAACUGUCCUGUAUGCUGAAGGAAAAUUAGUAUCAGUUUAUGUUAUCUGUUGGUUCGUAGGAAAAAAACUUGUCAUUAUGAUUUAGUGUGUAUUUUUAAAGGCCGUGUGUUUAUGUCCCGGUCGGAUAGGAGUUAUAUUGGGUAUGGAUAAACAUUUUUUGAUAAGUUCACGUGAAAAAUGAACGUGUACAUCUUUAAGAGUGAGUUUAUGUUGGAAAUUCUUCAAAUUGAAAGUUGAACAUUUCGGGAAAUUCUUUAAAUUGACAGUUUUUUAGACAGUUUAUGAACAUUUGUUUAUUUUAUAUUUGACAGUUUAUGAACAUUAUUAUUAUUUUUUUUUUUUUUUGACAGUUUAUGAACCUUUAAGUUUCAUUUUGUAUUUGACAGUUUAUGAACAUUUCUGAAUAUUGAGAGCAUUGAGACUGCUGGUGCAACGGUGCCAUGUACUAAGAGAGACUGUAGAUCGUUUUCUAUGAUGUGUAUUCCAGUUUUGUGUUAUGAAAAUUUCGAUUUAUAAUUGGCUUUUUCUGGAGGGGGUUAGAAGGGAUUACUCAAAAUGCUUUUUUUAUACAUGUGCUUUUUUCCCGCCAUCCAUUAAUAACAAUGAGAAACUUAAGCCUUGCUUGUAUAUCUUUAACACCGCUUUUGGCAUCUUGACGUCACUAAUAGGCCUAUCAAAUCCUUACAUGUCAAUAUCUCAUUUAUCUUUAUCCAUAUUUAUUGACACUCUUCGACUGACUAUUAUUCCCUCUUUUAUCAAUUCCUUCUUAACAUUCCUCUUUAUUUGUUUAUUUCCAAGCACCUGCGACUAAGUGGGUGCCAGAGGUGAAUCUACACCUUGUUUGUAUAUAUCUGCGUGGUGGAAUUACCUUAAUAUUAUAGCAUAAAUCAGGUGAAUGUAUAAUGUAUAACUGUGUGAGACGAUGCAAGGGCAUACUUACUAAAUGAUCUCAAUAUUGUACAACGUGAGAAAAUUUUAUACAUCCAUGCGCCAACCGUCUAUCGUGAAGACUGCAAUAACAAAUCUUUACUUUUUAUGCUGCAAUGUAAACAAAAUAGCAAAUGUUCUCGCGCAUUUUAUUCUGUAUGUAUAUUUCGUCAUCCAAUCGUACUAGAACAAAUUGCAAUAACGAAGCCUUUUUGUUUUGUUUGUUCUUUGCUAGAACUAAAAAAAUAAUGUUUUACGCAUGUUUUCCUCUGUAUAUUUCGUCACCCAGUACUCGAAUUCAAACAGCUAAGGCAUAUAACCCAAAUGUCUAUUAAUAAACGUAAAUAACAUAAAUAACGAAACGUAUACAACAAUAUUACAAGGAUAACUUAUAUACUUCCCUGACAUAUUGUGAAACUAGUCGAGAGUUUGGAACCUGUUGGAGGGGGUACGUGCUUAACAUUUGUGUAUAUAGAGCGUUAGUAAUAAUGGAGAAAUUUAUACGACCUGACCCGUGAAUUCACUGUGCCAAAUUAUACAUUUUUUCUCGAGUCUUUUCAUCUUUUUUUUUCAUUUUUGUUUAUAUAUUUCUUCCAUGAGAAAUUGUACUUAUGUAAACAUUUGAUCUUUUUAUAUGUAUAUAUUGUGUAUGUGAUGAAGAUUUAAGUGAAAUAUAUAUGGACUUCUUCAA
Molecule: non-coding RNA, 5342 nt
Organism: Penaeus vannamei (Pacific white shrimp)
Lineage: Eukaryota; Metazoa; Arthropoda; Malacostraca; Decapoda; Penaeidae
Source: RefSeq, a predicted model, not a curated record